Molecule: non-coding RNA, 362 nt
Organism: Cinara cedri
Lineage: Eukaryota; Metazoa; Arthropoda; Insecta; Hemiptera; Aphididae
Source: the annotation of a GenBank genome assembly
GAUCGAUUUUCGUACAUAUUAUAACAUCGCACCAUGCAAAACGGUCUGUAAAUCGAAACUACCGCAUAACGAACCGACUUGCGUGUGCGUGUUUUACCAACUAUCCACCAACCCUUAAUAUAGGUACACUCAUGUUUGCCUUAAUGCGAUUUUGUUUAAUCAAUCGAUCGAAAACUCGUACAAUCUAGAAUUUAAGUCAAACUGACUAAUUUUGUCCAAACACAACCUUUCCGCCGGGUACGGAGUUUUUUCCGUGCAAAUAAUUUUUAUAUAUAUAUAUAUAUGUAUACACGCCAUCGCAAACGUUCAGUUUUGCUUUAAUGUAUAUAAAUACUAUACCGUACGGAGGAUAUACUGUUGGU